This 467-nucleotide ribosomal RNA is filed under the name uncultured bacterium. RNAcentral describes it as "partial 16S ribosomal RNA". It matches the Rfam family "Bacterial small subunit ribosomal RNA", at positions 28 to 506 of the family's 1533-position model. The record is from RNAcentral.
GACGAACGCUGGCGGCGUGCUUAACACAUGCAAGUCGAACGGAAAGGCCCUGCUUUUGUGGGGUGCUCGAGUGGCGAACGGGUGAGUAACACGUGAGUAACCUGCCCUUGACUUUGGGAUAACUUCAGGAAACUGGGGCUAAUACCGGAUAGGAGCUCCUGCUGCAUGGUGGGGGUUGGAAAGUUUCGGCGGUUGGGGAUGGACUCGCGGCUUAUCAGCUUGUUGGUGGGGUAGUGGCUUACCAAGGCUUUGACGGGUAGCCGGCCUGAGAGGGUGACCGGCCACAUGGGGACUGGGAUACGGCCCAGACUCCUACGGGAGGAAGCAGUGGGGAAUAUGGCACAAGGGGCGGAAGCCGGAUGCAGCAACGCCGGGGGCGGGAUGACGGCCUUCGGGUGGAAAACCGCUUUCGCCUGUGACGAGGCGUGAGUGACGGUAAGGGGUAAAGAAGCACCGGCUAACUACGU